Molecule: small nuclear RNA, 98 nt
Filed under: Cervus hanglu yarkandensis (Yarkand deer)
Lineage: Eukaryota; Metazoa; Chordata; Mammalia; Artiodactyla; Cervidae
Source: RNAcentral
GCUCUCUUCAGCAGGACAUCUACUAAAAUGGGGACGACAUAGAGGAGAGUAGAGUGGCCCCUGUGCAAGGAUAAAUUCAUAAAGUAUUUUAUAUUUUU